This 20-nucleotide small nuclear RNA is filed under the name Arabidopsis thaliana (thale cress). RNAcentral's name for it is "snRNA_07169". The record is from RNAcentral. Lineage: Eukaryota; Viridiplantae; Streptophyta; Magnoliopsida; Brassicales; Brassicaceae.
GAAGAAUCCUUUCGAAGGGU